CCUUACACAUGCAAGUCGAACGGCAGCACGGACUUCGGUCUGGNGGCGAGUGGNGAACGGGUGAGUAAUACAUCNNAACGUGCCUAGUAGUGGGGGAUAACUACUCGAAAGAGGGGCUAAUACCGCGUGANAUCUACGGAUGAAAGCGGGGGAUCGCAAGACCUUGUGCUACUAGAGCGGCUGAUGGCAGAUUAGGUAGUUGGUGGGAUAAAAGCUUACCAACCCCACNAUCUGUAUCUGGUCUGAGAGGAAGAUCAGCCACACUGGGACUGANACACGGCCCACACUCCUACGGGAGGCAGCAGUGGGGAAUUUUGGACAAUGGGCGCGCGCCUGAUCCAGCAAUGCCGCGUGCGGGAUGAAGGCCUUCGGUUUGUAAACUGCUUUUGUACGGAACGAAAAGCUNNGGGUUAAUACCCUGGGGUCAUGACGGUACCGNAAGAAUAAACACCNGCUANCUACGUGCCAGCCCCC
Molecule: ribosomal RNA, 474 nt
Filed under: uncultured bacterium
Lineage: Bacteria
Description: partial 16S ribosomal RNA
Rfam family: Bacterial small subunit ribosomal RNA
Source: RNAcentral